CCUACGGGGGGCAGCAGUCGAGAAUCUUCCGCAAUGGACGAAAGUCUGACGGAGCGACGCCGCGUGAUCGAUGAAGUCCUUAGGGAUGUAAAGAUCUUUUAUCAAGGAGGAAGUUUAUUGACGUUACUUGAUGAAUAAGAGGUUGCUAAACUCGUGCCAGCAGCAGCGGGAAUACGAGUGCCGCAAGCGUUAUCCGGAAUUAUUGGGCGUAAAGGGUGUGUAGGCGGAUUUGUUAGUCUUUUGUUAAAGCUCCCGGCUCAACUGGGAAAAAGCAAGAGAAACGGCAAGUCUAGAGAGUGUACGGGGUUUGCGGACCUCAUGGUGUCGGGGUGAACUCCGUUGCUAUCAUGGGAAACCCCAAACGCGAAGGCAGCAACCUGGUACACUUCUGCCGCUGGGACCCGAAGGCGUGGGUGGCGAAGGGGAUUGGUUCCCCCGGUCGU
RNAcentral lists this ribosomal RNA (443 nucleotides) under uncultured bacterium. RNAcentral's name for it is "bacterial SSU rRNA". It matches the Rfam family "Bacterial small subunit ribosomal RNA", at positions 338 to 794 of the family's 1533-position model. The record is from RNAcentral.